Brachypodium distachyon (stiff brome) is the source of this 136-nucleotide non-coding RNA. The record is from Rfam. NCBI's taxonomy places the organism in Eukaryota, Viridiplantae, Streptophyta, Magnoliopsida, Poales, Poaceae.
CUAUUACUCCCUCAGUCCCAUAUUAAGUGUCGCAACUUUGUCUAGAUACGCCUGUACCUGCACACUAAAAUGCGACUAGAUACAUGCGUAUCUAGACAAAGUUGCGACACUUAAUAUGGGACGGAGGGAGUAAAAU